UCGUGUCGGAGAUGUUGGGUUAAGUCCCGCAACGAGCGCAACCCCUAUUGUUAGUUGCCAUCAUUAAGUUGGGCACUCUAGCGAGACUGCCGGUAAUAAACCGGAGGAAGGUGGGGAUGACGUCAAUCAUCAUGCCCCUUAUGACCUGGGCUACACACGUGCUACAAUGGUUGGUACAACGAGUCGCAAGCCGGUGACGGCAAGCUAAUCUCUUAAAGCCAAUCUCAGUUCGGAUUGUAGGCUGCAACUCGCCUACAUGAAGUCGGAAUCGCUAGUAAUCGCGGAUCAGCACGCCGCGGUGAAUACGUUCCCGGGCCUUGUACACACCGCCCGUCACACCACGAGAGUUUGUAACACCCGAAGUCGGUGAGGUAACCUUUUAGGAGCCAGCCGCCUAAGGNGGGAUAGAUGAUUGGGGUGAAGUCGUAACAAGGUAAGCCGUAUCGGAAGGUGCGGCUGGAUCACCUCCUUUCU
This 474-nucleotide ribosomal RNA is filed under the name Streptococcus agalactiae. RNAcentral's name for it is "bacterial SSU rRNA". It matches the Rfam family "Bacterial small subunit ribosomal RNA", at positions 1060 to 1533 of the family's 1533-position model. The record is from RNAcentral. Lineage: Bacteria; Bacillati; Bacillota; Bacilli; Lactobacillales; Streptococcaceae.